This 3854-nucleotide long non-coding RNA is filed under the name Triticum aestivum (bread wheat). RNAcentral's name for it is "long non-coding RNA (TAES_LNC012443)". Lineage: Eukaryota; Viridiplantae; Streptophyta; Magnoliopsida; Poales; Poaceae. The record is from RNAcentral.
UGACUAAAAACUGAAAAUAAUCUAGCAAAAAACAUUACAAAAACUAAUAUAAGACUGAGAAGGCAAGCUUACAAACUGAGGAACAAGAAUAAUGAACAAUGAAUACUUAGGAAUAAGUACUCAAGAUUUUAUUUUGUCCAUACAAAUGAGACGUCUCACUUAAACGUACAAGUCCUCAAUCAAGCUUAAAAAAAAUUACACUCCAUGAAACAAAGCAUGAGCUAACUCAUCACGGAAGGCAUUCAUGUCGAUAUCUUCAACAAGAGAUUCGUCUUCUGGCCAUGCGGAUGCAGAAGAACUAGGCAUUGGGUUAUAGUUUUCAUCCGCAUCACACGCAUCAAAUUCCCUAUCCGGAAUUCUGCUCUCUCGAAUGAAAUUAUGAAGAACCAUACAAGCAACAAUAAUUCUAGUUUGCUUGUCCUCUGGAAAUUUUGGCAUGUUCAAUAAAAUCCUAAAUUUCAUCUUCAACACUCCAAAGGACCGCUCAAUGACAUUCCUAACUUUGGCAUGUGCAUGGUUGAAGGUUUCUUUCAUACCUUGUGGCGGCGGGCCGUUUUGCCAUUGUUGCACAUGGUACCUUGUACAUCUGUAUGGUGAAAGGUAGCCUGGACGGUUUGGGUACCCCGCAUCAACCACAUAAUACUUCCCUGCAAAUUGUGAAAGACACACAAUGAGACUUGGAUGAACAAGUGUAAUUGGAUAAAAAAAGUUGCAAGACAUUUGAAGUAGCAAACCUGGUGGUGGAUGUGGAAAUUUUUAAUGAUGAGUAGUUCUGGCAUCUUUCAAAACUCUCAUGUCAUGUGCUGAACCAGGCCAUCCCGACAUCACAAAUGUAAAUCUCAUGUCGAAAUCACAAACAGCAAGCACAUUCUGACUGGUUUCAUUGUGCCUGUUCAAGUAUGGAAUCCUCUUACUCUUAUCCACCACAACAUUCACAUGUGUCCCAUCUAUAGCUUCUAUGCAGUCAUUGAAGUGUGGCCAGAAUGCUGGAUUUUCUAAGUUUGGGUGCACCUCUGAAAAUGUUGGGUCCUUGGGUACAAUUAUGUCAUGUGCUAACCUGAGGAGGCAUGUCAAAACUCUGUUAAAUGUCCUACUUACUGUCUCCAUGGACCUCCUAAAACGGUUCUCAGCCUGUCUAACUGACUGUGGUGAUCCAACAAUCCAUAAAAACAUAGCUAGAGCCUCUACAGAUGUCAUUUUUGUAGUGGACUUCAAGCCAUAUGAUUGCACCAAAGUAUUAUGUAGCUUGUUAAACAAAGGUCUCUCAACCCUAAACAUGUUAUAGCAUUGGGUAUCUCGGGCUAGUGUCUCCUGCACCCAAUCCAAACCAGAGUAUCCACUGACCCUCCUAGGUAGUUUCACAAAGUAGUUAUCAGAGUACAUACCCAAGACAGGAACCAACUUCAAGAUUAAAUUCUCGGACUGCACCAAAUUGUUGCGGCACAUAGAUAUGAUCUCAUCCUCACUUGUGCUACCUCCAUCAUAUUCUUCUUCCUCAAUCAUGGGGACAUGAUCUUCUUCCUGUUUCAACACAUGUAUCAAAUUGUCAACACAUAUCAUAAAACUUGAAGGAAUGUAAGCAAAUGAAAUUAAUUCAGCCCGCAGAUAAAACAAAAUAGGUUCAACACAGAUAAUAGUUCAACACCUCACAAACACAUGAUAGGUUCAACAUAUACAACAAUUUAAAUAGAUUCAACAUCUUAACACACACACUUCAAACUACUCCAAAUUGUUGUCCCUGCGUCAUUUCUUGAAGUAACCCAACCUAAGCUCAGGAGUUAACAGGCCACAAAAGAACUCCCUUUGGUACUCUGUUUCGAACAUCUUAGACAUAGCAUAGACAGAGUCAACUGUUUGCUCAACGCCACACUCAAAUGCUAGCUCCUGACACCUCUUCACAGAAUAUGCAACCUUCUCAUUUGCACGUUUCUGCAUUUGCUUAGUGUUGGCUACGACAGACUCCUUAUAGGUAUUGGCUAUGUCCUUGACAAUCUUCACCAUUGGGCUCUUGCUCUUCUUCAAUGGACUGGUCAAAGUGCUUGAAGUGCUUAUUGAUCUCUUGCCCCUCUGGCUCCUCUGGUUGCUUGUACUUGUAGGUGUUCCUUGAAACUCCUCCUCUUCCUCUUCUACCCCUGCAUCUUGCCCUUGAUUCUGACCAUAAUCAUCUCCAGGCACAAAGGCUGUGCUUCCAUCCACGGUGUAACCUCUGAAUAGUCAAUCAAGCAACUCCUCGUUUGCUGGAGGACCCCACUGCAACUUCCUUAGGUAUGGUUUCUUCUGCAGGAUAGUGAAAAAGUAAAACUAGUUAAGAUAUGAGAGAUUCAUCAAGAUUUAUACUGAUGAAAAAGGCACAUGGAUGGACGGUGCAUGCACAUGGAUGGACUAGUAUGUGGUCGUUGAAAGCAUCAGUUUUGUUUUAUCUUCUCUGGCUGUUUGUUUCUUCCUGGUUAAAUUAUUGCUCCAGACUUAAAUUAUUUGACUAGCUCAGAUUCAUCAAGAUUUACUGCUCCAGACUUAAAUUAUUUGACUAGCUCAGAUUCAUCAACAGUCCAUUUUAUUUACAUAAAAGCAUAUAUAGUCGUAACUACGUGCAUAGAAGACCCAUAUACUUUGCCAAUGCAAUGAAAAAUCUUCACAGCAGCAUAGAAGACCCAUAUAAGACCCAUAUACUUUGCCAAUGCAAUGAAAAAUCUUCACAGCAGCAUAGAAGACCCAUAUAAGACCCAUAUACUUUGCCAAUGCAAUGAAAAAUCUUCACAGCAGCAUAGAAGACCCAUAUAAGACCCAUAUACUUUGCCAAUGCAAUGAAAAAUCCUCACAGCAGCGACCCAACAUAUUUAAAGAUAUACUACAUUGAUAUAGGCAGUAAAAGUGUACCUCUGUGUGUGUAAUCCAGAACUCAGAGUCGGCAUCAAUGGUUCCAUCUGGUUUCCUCCCCAUCCGUAGAGCCCAAGCCCCAGGAACCCCUCCGACGCCGGCGCUUGCGAGUUGAGGUCAAGACCGACAUGGGGAGCGGGGCCGCUUGCCGACGGCUGCGAACCCCACACAUCGAAGCCGUCUCCGUCCAUCGCUGGUGCUAUGCUCCAAGCUAUACUACCUGUACCAGAAGAGAAGAAUCAGUAGCACAUCCAGGAAGUGUUACAAGCAAGCCGAACUCAACACCGCACAUGCAGUCGUGCUCUUCUCCGGAAUAAGUAAUCUUGUCCAUGUUAACUUAUGAGAUACAUUUCUAACUUUGAUUAUUUAUAACAGCUAGUGUAACAAAAAUGAAAUUGUACCAAAAUAUUUUGUGUAAGUUCCUGAACAUCUGCAGCUCUUUAUAAGUAUUCAUAGAUCAGCUCUUUAUAAGUAUUGAGUUGUUUCUCAAUAUAGAUCCUGAACAUCUGCAGCUCUUUAUAAGUAUUUAUAGAUCAGCUUUUUAUAAGUAUUUACAUAUCACAGCUCUUUGUUUCUUAAUGCUCAAAUCACAGCUAGUGCAUAUCAAAUUAUUUAUAGAUCAGCUCUUUGUUUCUUCAUGCUCUAAAUUUGCACAAACAUCUGCAACGAGAGGGGGCUGAACAUCUGCAGCUAACUAGCUAACUAAACAGAAGAAUCCAGCCACGCCGUUGCUCACGCUAACUAAUCUAGCUAUGGACUACUCUUGCUGACUUGAUGCACAGACGGACGCGUACGAGGAGGGAGAGCACGAGUACAGAAGGAACGGACGGACUCACCUCUCGCUGGAUCGAUCCUUGACAGAUGCGUCGCCUCCGCGCACGAGAGAGAGAGAGGGAAACGACCGGGAGCGGCGCGAGCUUCGGACGGGGGAGGACGAGCGGCGACCGGAGGAGGACGAGCGGCGACCGGAGGAGGAC